UACGUAGGGUGCGAGCGUUGUCCGGAAUUAUUGGGCGUAAAGAGCUCGUAGGCGGCUUUGCAAGUUAGAGGUGAAAGCCCGGGGCUCAACUCCGGAAUUGCCUUUAAAACUGCAUCGCUAGAAUUGUGGAGAGGUAAGUGGAAUUCCGAGUGUAGAGGUGAAAUUCGUAGAUAUUCGGAAGAACACCAGUGGCGAAGGCGACUUACUGGACACAUAUUGACGCUGAGGUGCGAAAGCGUGGGGAGCAAACAGG
RNAcentral lists this ribosomal RNA (253 nucleotides) under uncultured bacterium. RNAcentral describes it as "partial 16S ribosomal RNA". It matches the Rfam family "Bacterial small subunit ribosomal RNA", at positions 524 to 776 of the family's 1533-position model. The record is from RNAcentral.